Molecule: ribosomal RNA, 793 nt
Filed under: uncultured archaeon
Lineage: Archaea
Description: bacterial SSU rRNA
Rfam family: Archaeal small subunit ribosomal RNA
Source: RNAcentral
ACUGCUCAGUAACACGUGGACAACCUACCCUCAGCACGGGGAUAGACCCGGGAAACUGGGUAUAAUACCCGAUAGUUCUAGGCUGCUGGAAUGCUUCCAGGACGAAAGCUCCGGCGACUGAGGAUGGGUCUGCGGCCUAUCAGGUAGUAGUGGGUGUAAUGUACCUACUAGCCUACGACGGGUACGGGUCGUGAGAGCGAGAGCCCGGAGAUGGAUUCUGAGACACGAAUCCAGGCCCUACGGGGUGCAGCAGGCGCGAAAACUUUACAAUGCUGGCAACAGCGAUAAGGGGACCUCGAGUGCCAGGAUACAAUCUUGGCUGUCGUGAUGCCUAAAAAGCAUUACAUAGCAAGGGCCGGGCAAGACCGGUGCCAGCCGCCGCGGUAACACCGGCGGCUCGAGUGGUAACCGCUAUUAUUGGGUCUAAAGGGUCUGUAGCCGGCCGGAUAAGUCUUUUGGGAAAUCCAGCUGCUCAACAGUUGGGCUUUCAGAAGAUACUGUUCGGCUCGAGGCCGGGAGAGGUGAGAGGUACUUCAGGGGUAGGGGUGAAAUCUUGUAAUCCUUGAGGGACCGCCAGUGGCGAAGGCGUCUUGCUAGAACGGGUCCGACGGUGAGGGACGAAAGCUAGGGGCACGAACCGGAUUAGAUACCCGGGUAGUCCUAGCCGUAAACGAUGCGAGCUAGGUGUCACGUGGAUUGCGAAUCCACGUGGUGCCGUAGGGAAACCGUGAAGCUCGCCGCCUGGGAAGUACGGCCGCAAGGCUGAAACUUAAAGGAAUUGGCGGGGGAGCAC